RNAcentral lists this ribosomal RNA (647 nucleotides) under uncultured bacterium. RNAcentral's name for it is "bacterial SSU rRNA". It matches the Rfam family "Bacterial small subunit ribosomal RNA", at positions 110 to 753 of the family's 1533-position model. The record is from RNAcentral.
GUAAUGCGUAGGAAGCUGCCCGAUAGAGGGGGAUACCAGUUGGAAACGACUGUUAAUACCGCAUAAUGUCUACGGACCAAAGUGUGGGACCUUCGGGCCACAUGCUAUCGGAUGCGCCUACGUGGGAUUAGCUAGUUGGUGAGGUAAUGGCUCACCAAGGCGACGAUCUCUAGCUGGUUUGAGAGGAUGAUCAGCCACACUGGAACUGAGACACGGUCCAGACUCCUACGGGAGGCAGCAGUGGGGGAUAUUGGACAAUGGGCGCAAGCCUGAUCCAGCCAUGCCGCGUGUGUGAAGAAGGCCUUCGGGUUGUAAAGCACUUUCAGCGAGGAGGAAGGGUGGUGUGUUAAUAGCACAUCAUUUUGACGUUACUCGCAGAAGAAGCACCGGCUAACUCUGUGCCAGCAGCCGCGGUAAUACAGAGGGUGCAAGCGUUAAUCGGAAUUACUGGGCGUAAAGCGCACGUAGGCGGUUUUUUAAGUCAGAUGUGAAAGCCCCGGGCUCAACCUGGGAAUUGCAUUUGAAACUGGGGAACUAGAGUGUGUGAGAGGGGGGUAGAAUUCCAAGUGUAGCGGUGAAAUGCGUAGAGAUUUGGAGGAAUACCAGUGGCGAAGGCGGCCCCCUGGCACAACACUGACGCUCAGGUG